GGAGGGCUUCCCCCGGGGGAAGGCUGGUUCGCAGGGCUCCCAAGGAGCUGCUCCCCUCCAAGUGGUCAGGAGACAGGCUCUAAUCAACAGCGGAGUUGGCCACUGGGCGUUUUCUCUGCCAGCAUCUGCCCCUGGCUCCUCUGAGCUCUGACUUCACAGGGGCUGAAGGGUUUUAGGCCCUGGGCAACAGGCUGAUCACUAUUGACUCCUCUUAAUUGCCUUGAACCUACCGGAUCUAGUUUCUGUGUGAUUCUCUCUGGCCUCAGAACCCACCGCUGACCCCACCAACCAUUUCCCAUUCAUCCUGCGUACAGCCCAGCCCUGCAUGCCUGUCACCAAGACACUGACCCCAUCGUCCAGAAUCCUCUCUGCCACUCAGCCAAAUUUGGAUAAGUGCUCAUGUGAUCUACCGUUGAAAUGGGAAAUAAACAUGCAAUAAAUGA
Molecule: long non-coding RNA, 443 nt
Organism: Leopardus geoffroyi (Geoffroy's cat)
Lineage: Eukaryota; Metazoa; Chordata; Mammalia; Carnivora; Felidae
Exons: 2
Source: RefSeq, a predicted model, not a curated record